Molecule: ribosomal RNA, 1527 nt
Filed under: metagenome
Description: bacterial LSU rRNA
Rfam family: Bacterial large subunit ribosomal RNA
Source: RNAcentral
CUCCGGUUAAUAUUCCGGAACUACCUAUUCCACGUUAUUACGAUGGGGGGACGCAGGAGGCUAACCAGGCCCGCGAUUGGACGUGCGGGUUGAGGGUCGUAGGGAGAUUCGCCAGGUAAAUCCGGUGGGUCGUUAAUCCUGAGGGCCCGGAGCGAGCGCCGCAAGGCGCAUAAAGCUGGUGACGCCACGCUGCCGAGAAAAGCCUCUAAGGAGUGGAGUGGGUACCCGUACCGCAAACCGACACAGGUAGGCGAGGAGAAAAUCCUAAGGCCCAAGUGUGAUCCCCCGUUUAGGAACUCGGCAAAUUGGCCCCGUAACUUCGGAAGAAGGGGUGCUCUUGCUUGUCAUCCGGCUUGCCCGGAGAAGCGAACGAGAGUUGCAAUAAAGAGGCUCAGGCGACUGUUUACUAAAAACACAGGGCUCUGCGAAGUCGAAUACGACGUAUAGGGUCUGACGCCUGCCCGGUGCCGGAAGGUUAAAGAGAGGGGUUAGCCGCAAGGCGAAGCUCUGAACUGAAGCCCCGGUAAACGGCGGCCGUAACUAUAACGGUCCUAAGGUAGCGAAAUUCCUUGUCGGGUAAGUUCCGACCUGCACGAAUGGCGUAACGAUCUGAGCGCUGUCUCAACGGGGAGCACUGCGAAUUUGUGGUACCGGUGAAGACGCCGGUUGCCCGUCACAAGACGAAAAGACCCCGUGCACCUUUACUACAUCCUAGUAGUGAAUGCUGGCGCAGUAUGCGCAGGAUAGGUGGGAGGCUUUGAACUCAGGCUUUCGGGCUUGGGGGAGCCAACGGUGAGAUACCACCCUUACUGCUCCGGCGUUCUAACCUCGUUCUGUUAUCCAGAUCAGGGACACUGCUAGGUGGGUAGUUUGACUGGGGCGGUCGCCUCCUAAACUGUAACGGAGGCGCUCGAAGGUUCGCUCAGGCUGUUUGGAAAUCAGCCAUAGAGUGCAAAGGCAUAAGCGAGCUUGACUGCGAGACCUACAAGUCGAGCAGGUGGGAAACCAGGACUUAGUGAUCCGGUGGUUCCGCAUGGAAGGGCCAUCGCUCAACGGAUAAAAGGUACGCCGGAUAACAGGCUGAUCUGAGCCAAGAGUCCACAUCGACGCUCAGGUUUGGCACCUCGAUGUCGGCUCAUCGCAUCCUGGAGCUGUAGCAGGUUCCAAGGGUCCGGCUGUUCGCCGGUUAAAGCGGUACGUGAGCUGGGUUUAGAACGUCGCGAGACAGUUCGGUCUCUAUCUGUGAUGGGCGAAGGAGAUUUGAGUGGGGCUGACCUUAGUACGAGAGGACCGGGUUGGACGAACCUCUAGUGUAUCGGUUGUCACGCCAGUGGCAGUGCCGAGUAGCUACGUUCGGAAGGGAGAAACGCUGAAGGCAUCUAAGCGUGAAACCCUCCACGAGAUGAGAUCUCCCAGGGCAUAAGCCCUCUGAAGGCUCCUGGUAGACGACCAGGUUGAUAGGCCAGGUGUGGAAGCGCAGCGAUGCGUUAAGCUAACUGGUACUAAUUAGCCGUGAGGCUUGACCAU